GGUUAAGCGACUAAGCGUACACGGUGGAUGCCCUGGCAGUCAGAGGCGAUGAAGGACGUGCUAAUCUGCGAAAAGCGUCGGUAAGGUGAUAUGAACCGUUAUAACCGGCGAUGUCCGAAUGGGGAAACCCAGUGCAAUUCGUUGCACUAUCGUUAACUGAAUACAUAGGUUAACGAGGCGAACCGGGGGAACUGAAACAUCUAAGUACCCCGAGGAAAAGAAAUCAACCGAGAUUCCCCCAGUAGCGGCGAGCGAACGGGGAGCAGCCCAGAGUCUGAAUCAGCUUGUGUGUUAGUGGAACGGUCUGGAAAGUCCGACGGUACAGGGUGAUAGUCCCGUACACCAAAAUGCACAGGCUGUGAACUCGAAGAGUAGGGCGGGACACGUGGUAUCCUGUCUGAAUAUGGGGGGACCAUCCUCCAAGGCUAAAUACUCCUGACUGACCGAUAGUGAACCAGUACCGUGAGGGAAAGGCGAAAAGAACCCCGGCGAGGGGAGUGAAAAAGAACCUGAAACCGUGUACGUACAAGCAGUGGGAGCACCUUCGGGUGUGACUGCGUACCUUUUGUAUAAUGGGUCAGCGACUUAUAUUCUGUAGCAAGGUUAACCGUAUAGGGGAGCCGCAGGGAAACCGAGUCUUAACUGGGCGUUAAGUUGCAGGGUAUAGACCCGAAACCCGGUGAUCUAGCCAUGGGCAGGUUGAAGGUUGGGUAACACUAACUGGAGGACCGAACCGACUAAUGUUGAAAAAU
Molecule: ribosomal RNA, 752 nt
Filed under: Klebsiella pneumoniae
Lineage: Bacteria; Pseudomonadati; Pseudomonadota; Gammaproteobacteria; Enterobacterales; Enterobacteriaceae
Description: partial 23S ribosomal RNA
Rfam family: Bacterial large subunit ribosomal RNA
Source: RNAcentral